ACCUUAGGCUCCAGGAGUUUCCAGCUGUUGGCCUUGAGUUGCUGUAGCUCCAGGAACUUGAGGGUCACAUCCUCGAUGGAGAGCUGUAGGAGGUCCCAGAAACCCGCCAGGUCCUGGAAGGACUCACCAUGCUUUGCUGACACAGCCGGAAGAACUGCUGAACCUUCUGGGACAGGAGAAGUUGUGUGCUGCCCACAGCACUGCGGAUCUUCUCCAGGACUAGAAAGCAGAAGGAA
RNAcentral lists this long non-coding RNA (236 nucleotides) under Homo sapiens (human). RNAcentral's name for it is "HSALNT0004746". Lineage: Eukaryota; Metazoa; Chordata; Mammalia; Primates; Hominidae. The record is from RNAcentral.